GUUAGUUUGCGUCCCGCUUUCCAGGCAGUUGCUUGUUUCAUUCUCCAUCUUUGAAAGUCUCUCUUUGUGAUCCUGCAGCUCCUUCUCAAGUUUUUCCCUCCUCUGAGUUUCAUUUCUAAGGCAGCAGAGCAACUGGCUCACAGUCAGCUCCUCAGAUUCCAAAUUCUUGGACUCAUCUGCAGAUUUGCUCAUGUAGACAGCGAUGUUACUGGCCAUUUCACUGCUAUUAUCUUGAUUUUCUCUUGCAGUUCGAUUUACU
Molecule: long non-coding RNA, 259 nt
Filed under: Gallus gallus (chicken)
Lineage: Eukaryota; Metazoa; Chordata; Aves; Galliformes; Phasianidae
Source: RNAcentral